This 362-nucleotide ribosomal RNA is filed under the name Salmonella enterica. RNAcentral's name for it is "partial 23S ribosomal RNA". It matches the Rfam family "Bacterial large subunit ribosomal RNA", at positions 1 to 390 of the family's 2925-position model. Lineage: Bacteria; Pseudomonadati; Pseudomonadota; Gammaproteobacteria; Enterobacterales; Enterobacteriaceae. The record is from RNAcentral. RNAcentral also lists the same sequence under 1 other name.
GGGUUGUGAGGUUAAGCGACUAAGCGUACACGGUGGAUGCCCUGGCAGUCAGAGGCGAUGAAGGACGUGCUAAUCUGCGAAAAGCGCCGGUGAGGUGAUAUGAACCGUUAUAACCGGCGAUGUCCGAAUGGGGAAACCCAGUGUGACUCGUCACACUAUCAUUAACUGAAUCCAUAGGUUAAUGAGGCGAACCGGGGGAACUGAAACAUCUAAGUACCCCGAGGAAAAGAAAUCAACCGAGAUUCCCCCAGUAGCGGCGAGCGAACGGGGAGGAGCCCAGAGCCUGAAUCAGCAUGUGUGUUAGUGGAAGCGUCUGGAAAGGCGCGCGAUACAGGGUGACAGCCCCGUACACAAAAGCGCAU